GGAUGAAUUAAACUGAUUUAAACCAGUGGUCCUCAACUCUGGACCUUGAGGUCCACUUUCCUGCAGAGUUUAGCUCCAACCCUAAUCAAAC
Long non-coding RNA from Sinocyclocheilus rhinocerous, 91 nucleotides. RefSeq lists it as uncharacterized. The transcript has 4 exons. The record is from RefSeq and is a predicted model, not a curated record. Lineage: Eukaryota; Metazoa; Chordata; Actinopteri; Cypriniformes; Cyprinidae.